Molecule: small RNA, 66 nt
Filed under: Chinchilla lanigera (long-tailed chinchilla)
Lineage: Eukaryota; Metazoa; Chordata; Mammalia; Rodentia; Chinchillidae
Description: XIST 3' intron conserved motif (ENSCLAG00000021430.1)
Rfam family: XIST 3' intron conserved motif
Source: RNAcentral
UUGAUCUUUUCCAUUUUGCAAUCACUCAGAGGGUGGAAUAGGAGGAAAAGUGAAGGAAAAGAUCAA